Molecule: transfer RNA, 83 nt
Filed under: Candidatus Uhrbacteria bacterium
Lineage: Bacteria; Candidatus Uhriibacteriota
Description: tRNA-Leu
Rfam family: tRNA
About the family: Transfer RNA (tRNA) molecules are approximately 80 nucleotides in length.
Source: RNAcentral
GCGCCCGUGGUGGAACGGUAGACACGUCAGGCUUAGAACCUGAUGAUCGCAAGAUCGUGGGGGUUCGAAUCCCUCCGGGCGCA